ACGCUCGACACCUACGGGAGGCAGCAGUUGGGAAUAUUGGACAAUGGAGGAAACUCUGAUCCAGUGACGCCGCGUGAAGGAAGAAGGUCUUCGGAUUGUAAACUUAUUUUGUCAGGGAAGAAAAAAUGACUGUACCUGAGAAAAAGCACCGGCUAACUACGUGCCCGCAGCCGCGGUAAUCUGAGCGGGCUGGCAAGGC
This 199-nucleotide ribosomal RNA is filed under the name uncultured bacterium. RNAcentral describes it as "partial 16S ribosomal RNA". It matches the Rfam family "Bacterial small subunit ribosomal RNA", at positions 328 to 539 of the family's 1533-position model. The record is from RNAcentral.